Caenorhabditis elegans is the source of this 298-nucleotide non-coding RNA. The record is from Ensembl. NCBI's taxonomy places the organism in Eukaryota, Metazoa, Nematoda, Chromadorea, Rhabditida, Rhabditidae.
GCUGCUGCUCUUCAUCGCUUCGUUUCGUUCGUUUUCUCGCCGAGACGAGUGAGCAACGAGAGACACGAGAGAGUGUAGACAGUUUCUUUGGGCUCUCUUCACUCUCGUUGCUUAUCGAGACAUUGGAGACGGAGAAGGAUGGCGACGACUGCUGCUGCUUCUGCGGCUUCCCCUACUUCCCUACUUUUCUUUCUGCGACUCUAUAAGCACACCCUAUCACUAAUUGGUCGAAAAUAGUGUAACUUUAGCGGAGACUCACCACCCUAUCGGCUAAAGAGCGUUGAUUCGAGUGGGAGCG